Molecule: ribosomal RNA, 497 nt
Filed under: uncultured bacterium
Lineage: Bacteria
Description: partial 16S ribosomal RNA
Rfam family: Bacterial small subunit ribosomal RNA
Source: RNAcentral
GAUGAACGCUGGCGGCGUGCCUAAUACAUGCAAGUCGAGCGAACAGACGAGGAGCUUGCUCCUCUGACGUUAGCGGCGGACGGGUGAGUAACACGUGGAUAACCUACCUAUAAGACUGGGAUAACUUCGGGAAACCGGAGCUAAUACCGGAUAAUAUAUUGAACCGCAUGGUUCAAUAGUGAAAGACGGUUUUGCUGUCACUUAUAGAUGGAUCCGCGCCGCAUUAGCUAGUUGGUAAGGUAACGGCUUACCAAGGCAACGAUGCGUAGCCGAACUGAGAGGGUGAUCGGCCAAACUGGAACUGAGACACGGUCCAGACUCCUACGGGAGGCAGCAGUAGGGAAUCUUCCGCAAUGGGCGAAAGCCUGACGGAGCAACGCCGCGUGAGUGAUGAAGGUCUUCGGAUCGUAAAACUCUGUUAUUAGGGAAGAACAAAUGUGUAAGUAACUAUGCACGUCUUGACGGUACCUAAUCAGAAAGCCACGGCUAACUACGUG